GUCUGCAACUCGACUACAUGAAGCUGGAAUCGCUAGUAAUCGCGGAUCAGAGUGCCGCGGUGAAUACGUUCCCGGGUCUUGUACACACCGCCCGUCACACCAUGGGAGUCAGUAACGCCCGAAGCCGGUGACCCAACCUGAUCAGGAGGGAGCCGUCGAAGGCGGGACGGAUGACUGGGGUGAAGUCGUAACAAGGUAUC
Molecule: ribosomal RNA, 200 nt
Filed under: uncultured bacterium
Lineage: Bacteria
Description: partial 16S ribosomal RNA
Rfam family: Bacterial small subunit ribosomal RNA
Source: RNAcentral